UGGACAGUGUAACCGGCCCGCCUCAAACCCUAAAGGGAAGAAUCAACGAAAUGGAGUUCGUCUCUCCUCUGCGUGCGACGGCGACGGCGACUUCGUGACGUUUGUGCUUCUUCAAAAUAUUUGAAACGGUCAAGAGUUAUGGCGUCGUGUUAUGAGGGCUUCAAUGUGUCGUUUAGAUCUGCAAGUCGUUUAGAUCUGCAAGACGGUGUGUUUUCGGUAUAAAUAUGUGAGUGUUUCUCUUCUUGAACUCAUCCUCUCUUCUCCGAUUUGAAGUCCGGCAAGAAUUUUUUUCUCCGAUUUGAAGUCAGGCUAAACUUGCUCUAGAGGCUCUUGAAGUUCCUGUGGGAUGUGUCAUUCUUGAGGAGGGUAACAUCGUUGCUUCAGGGCGUAACCGAACUAAUGAGACAAGCAAUAGAGGCCACAAGACAUGCAGAGAUGGAAGCAAUCGAUGAACUUAUUGGACAAUGGCAAAAAGAUAGACUUUGACCUUUACAAGUCGCUGAGAAUUUCUCGAAAUGCGUUCUUUACGUAACAUGUGAACCUUGCAUAAUGUGUGCAUCGACCUUAUCCUUCCUCGGUAUAAAGGAAGUAUAUUAUGCAUGCGGUAAUGAUAAAUUUGGGGUUGUGGUUCUAUAUUGUCGCUUCACUUAGAGUGUUCUCAGACAUAAGAUAUCCUUUUGAAGAAGCUCAAAGAGGAAAAGGGUACAAGUGCAGAGGAAUAAUGGCAGACGAAGCUGUAUCUCUUUUCAAAUGUUUCUAUGAGAGGCAAUCCAUACAUUUUAGCCCCAAAGCCACACCGCCCUGUAGUUCAAAGAGAGAGGACUUAGCAUCUUAGAGGCGAACUUGGUUUGAAAAUUGGAGUUUCUGAUUAAAAUAUGAAGAAGUUGAGGUGGAGGUUGUCAAAUGAUGAUUCUAUGUUUGAUUUUGCUACUUUUGGCACAUGAAACGUUAUCAGUUACAUCCAAAACAUUUGUUUAUCUGCCUAAGUUGGAGAUCUCAAUCUUAAGCUACUAAGUUGGUUUUCUAACUUAAGGAAUUAGUUGUCUGUGACUGUAACGUUUUCUUCUUGUACGGGUAGAUGAUAGACAUGACCAUCAUUAGAAGAAUAAAAGAUUAACUAUGUUUUUAUCUUUUUCCUUGGAUCAAAUCUCUGUUUCUAUCUCUUUCCUUUAACCCAGACAAGUAACACUCUUAACAUACUUAUUUUUUCUACCCAUAUUGGUUGGUUUUAUGGUUAAUUUGUCAAGUAAACACACAAGUGUUCAAAAUGCAUGCAUAGAUGAUAUUUAUGACGAAAAGAAAGAUGACAAGUUAAAUAAAGGUGUGUAGAGAAGCUGAACUAUGCGCUGCUGCUGAUUGAAAUGCAACUUGGACAGGAAACAAAGGUGGGAGAAUACAUAUUGAAGCCAAAGACAAUAGAAAGAGAGAAGACUUUCGUUCUUCUGGACAUCCCGCACCGCCGCACGUAACUCACUACUUCAGGAGGUGGUGGUUGUGGUGUAACUGAGAAGAAGAAAUGAUGGUGUGUUUCUUUGCAGGGCUGGUAUUGUGUUUCUUUGCAGGGCUGGUAGUGGUGGUGGUGUAAGUGUGUAACUGAGAAGAAGAAAUGAUGCAAUGACUGAGUUCAAAGCUCUCUUUUUUUAUUUUUUAGAGUUUCCGCCUAAUUAAUGUUACACCACCACCACCAUACACUAUACUAAAAGGAGAAUAAGAUCACCAAUUAGCCUGUCCAUGUAGACACGAAAAAUCAGCCAAUAGAAAGACUCAAACAUGCAAUGCCAGCUCAGCUUAAAUCGAAAUUAUAAAUUCUGGGCUAGUUUAAAUCCAGAUUAAUAAAUUCUGGGUUUUUCAUAUGGGCUCAUGAUAUAUUUCAGAAAAUGUCCAGUUUUGAACUCCUAAAUAUUCGUUUCUUACACCUUUCAUAGAACGGAGGGGUCGCUCGAUCGAUUUGGUUAACACAGUUCGUCUUCUCCGUUUAUCCCUGCAAAUCUACAUAACCACAACCCCUCUUGACCAAUCAAUUUAUGUCCUAACAAAUCAAAAUAAGAAAAGCUCCCAUAUUAUUUAGUUUAUAUUUGUCAAAAAACACAAAAUAAUUUUUGGUGAGAACACUACUUUAGGACCUUUGACGUUCUCGAUUCUCUUGAUCUCAGUUUCACAAAGUUAUCAAACAUCUUCAAUUAAUCUCUUCAAAUUCUUUCAACCAUUUAUUUGUCCCUUAAUUCAGUUUUUAUGUUCUUUGAGCUCCUUCAAAUUAUUUCAAGAAUUUCCUUUUCCCUCAAAUCAGCUCAUCUAUUCUAUGAACAACUACAUCUCAAAGAUUUCAAAAAGAAGUUUCAUAUACGACAACAAAGACAAGCGACACUAACAAAGGAGAAUUAGAUUGGGAAGGCACACAUAAGCAAGAAGAAUAAGAUACUGGAGAAGAACAUGGUUAUCGUCCUCACAUAUUAUUAAGAUGAGAUCUGAUGGAAGAGUGAGAUGGUUGGAGGUGGUGAUGAUGGCAGAUUUCGUUUAUCAAUUGAAGAAGAAGGU
This is a long non-coding RNA of Brassica oleracea var. oleracea, 2535 nucleotides long. RefSeq lists it as uncharacterized. The transcript has 9 exons. The record is from RefSeq and is a predicted model, not a curated record. NCBI's taxonomy places the organism in Eukaryota, Viridiplantae, Streptophyta, Magnoliopsida, Brassicales, Brassicaceae.